This 225-nucleotide ribosomal RNA is filed under the name uncultured Pseudomonas sp. RNAcentral describes it as "partial 16S ribosomal RNA". It matches the Rfam family "Bacterial small subunit ribosomal RNA", at positions 568 to 792 of the family's 1533-position model. Lineage: Bacteria; Pseudomonadati; Pseudomonadota; Gammaproteobacteria; Pseudomonadales; Pseudomonadaceae. The record is from RNAcentral.
CGCGUAGGUGGUUUGUUAAGUUGGAUGUGAAAUCCCCGGGCUCAACCUGGGAACUGCAUUCAAAACUGACAAGCUAGAGUAUGGUAGAGGGUGGUGGAAUUUCCUGUGUAGCGGUGAAAUGCGUAGAUAUAGGAAGGAACACCAGUGGCGAAGGCGGCUCACUGGCUCGAUACUGACGCUGAGGUGCGAAAGCGUGGGGAGCAAACAGGAUUAGAUACCCCCGUA